CGUACACUCCUACGGGAGGCAGCAGUGGGGAAUAUUGGACAAUGGGCGCAAGCCUGAUCCAGCCAUGCCGCGUGAGUGAUGAAGGCCCUAGGGUUGUAAAGCUCUUUCACCGGUGAAGAUAAUGACGGUAACCGGAGAAGAAGCCCCGGCUAACUUCGUGCCAGCAGCCGCGGUAAUACGAAGGGGGCUAGCGUUGUUCGGAUUUACUGGGCGUAAAGCGCACGUAGGCGGACUAUUAAGUCAGGGGUGAAAUCCCGGGGCUCAACCCCGGAACUGCCUUUGAUACUGGUAGUCUUGAGUUCGAGAGAGGUGAGUGGAAUUCCGAGUGUAGAGGUGAAAUUCGUAGAUAUUCGGAGGAACACCAGUGGCGAAGGCGGCUCACUGGCUCGAUACUGACGCUGAGGUGCGAAAGCGUGGGGAGCAAACAGGAUUAGAAACCCUUGUAGUCCCAUGAU
RNAcentral lists this ribosomal RNA (455 nucleotides) under uncultured organism. Its description in RNAcentral is "partial 16S ribosomal RNA". It matches the Rfam family "Bacterial small subunit ribosomal RNA", at positions 330 to 801 of the family's 1533-position model. The record is from RNAcentral.